This 260-nucleotide ribosomal RNA is filed under the name uncultured bacterium. Its description in RNAcentral is "partial 16S ribosomal RNA". It matches the Rfam family "Bacterial small subunit ribosomal RNA", at positions 92 to 353 of the family's 1533-position model. The record is from RNAcentral.
CGAGUGGCGGACGGGUGAGUAAUGUCUGGGAAACUGCCUGAUGGAGGGGGAUAACUACUGGAAACGGUAGCUAAUACCUCAUAACGUCGCAAGACCAAAGAGGGGGACCUUCGGGCCUCUUGCCAUCGGAUGUGCCCAGAUGGGAUUAGCUAGUAGGUGGGGUAACGGCUCACCUAGGCGACGAUCCCUAGCUGGUCUGAGAGGAUGACCAGCCACACUGGAACUGAGACACGGUCCAGACUCCUACGGGAGGCAGCAUG